This 387-nucleotide ribosomal RNA is filed under the name uncultured eukaryote. RNAcentral's name for it is "SSU rRNA". It matches the Rfam family "Eukaryotic small subunit ribosomal RNA", at positions 587 to 985 of the family's 1831-position model. The record is from RNAcentral.
AGCUCCAAUAGCGUAUAUUUAAGUUGUUGCAGUUAAAAAGCUCGUAGUUGGAUUUCGGGUAGGGGGCGCCGGUCCGCUUCGGUGUGCACUGGCGGCCCAUAUCUUCUUGUCGGGGAUGCGUGCUGGUCUUCAUUGAUCGGCCGCAGAGUCGGCGCAGUUACUUUGAAAAAUUAGAGUGUUCAAAGCAGGCUUUCGCUUGAAUACAUUAGCAUGGAAUAACAUGAUAGGACUCCGUUCUCAUUGUGUUGGUCUUCGAGACUGGAGUAAUGAUUAAGAGGGACAGUUGGGGGCAUUCGUAUUUCAUUGUCAGAGGUGAAAUUCUUGGAUUAACGGAAGAUGAACUUCUGCGAAAGCAUCUGCCAAGGAUGUUUUCAUUGAUCAAGAACG